ACCGGAGCUUGCUCCACCGGAAAAAGAGGAGUGGCGAACGGGUGAGUAACACGUGGGUAACCUGCCCAUCAGAAGGGGAUAACACUUGGAAACAGGUGCUAAUACCGUAUAACAACCAAAACCGCAUGGUUUUGAUUUGAAAGGCGCUUUCGGGUGUCGCUGAUGGAUGGACCCGCGGUGCAUUAGCUAGUUGGUGAGGUAACGGCUCACCAAGGCCACGAUGCAUAGCCGACCUGAGAGGGUGAUCGGCCACAUUGGGACUGAGACACGGCCCAAACUCCUACGGGAGGCAGCAGUAGGGAAUCUUCGGCAAUGGACGAAAGUCUGACCGAGCCAACGCCGCGCUGAGUGAAGAAGGUUUUCGGAUCGUAAAACUCUGUUGUUAAGAGAAGAACAAGGAUGAGAGUAACUGUUCAUCCCUUGACGGUAUCUAACCAGAAAGCCACGGCUAACUACGUGCCAGCAGCACGCGGUAAUACGUAGGUGGCAAGCGUUGUCCGGAUUUAUUGGGCGUAAAGCGAGCGCAGGCGGUUUCUUAAGUCUGAAUGUGAAAGCCCCCGGCUCAACCGGGGAGGGUCAUUGGAAACUGGGAGACUUGAGUGCAGAAGAGGAGAGUGGAAUUCCAUGUGUAGCGGUGAAAUGCGUAGAUAUAUGGAGGA
This 659-nucleotide ribosomal RNA is filed under the name uncultured Bacilli bacterium. RNAcentral describes it as "bacterial SSU rRNA". It matches the Rfam family "Bacterial small subunit ribosomal RNA", at positions 72 to 705 of the family's 1533-position model. Lineage: Bacteria; Bacillati; Bacillota; Bacilli. The record is from RNAcentral.